This 120-nucleotide long non-coding RNA is filed under the name Mustela putorius furo (domestic ferret). Its description in RNAcentral is "lncRNA (ENSMPUG00000028864.1)". Lineage: Eukaryota; Metazoa; Chordata; Mammalia; Carnivora; Mustelidae. The record is from RNAcentral.
UUCAGCAUCAACAAUUACCUCUGGAAUUUGUCAGUACAGGUUCUUCAGAGACAGUGCUCCAAAGAACCCCUUUGGGCUGCGGCUAUUACUAUUCCUGUUUGAUCGAUGAGGAGCCUGGGA